This 69-nucleotide transfer RNA is filed under the name Odontobutis haifengensis. RNAcentral's name for it is "tRNA-Arg". It matches the Rfam family "tRNA". From Rfam's summary of the family: Transfer RNA (tRNA) molecules are approximately 80 nucleotides in length. Their secondary structure includes four short double-helical elements and three loops (D, anti-codon, and T loops). Lineage: Eukaryota; Metazoa; Chordata; Actinopteri; Gobiiformes; Odontobutidae. The record is from RNAcentral.
AGGUAACUAUUUUAAUUAAAAUAUUUGAUUUCGACUCAAAAGCUCAUGGUUUUAACCCACGAUUACCCA